This 244-nucleotide long non-coding RNA is filed under the name Citrus maxima (pomelo). RNAcentral describes it as "long non-coding RNA (CMAX_LNC003860)". The record is from RNAcentral. Lineage: Eukaryota; Viridiplantae; Streptophyta; Magnoliopsida; Sapindales; Rutaceae.
UUGUAAACCCAAAAAACAAAAAUUAUUAAAAAAAAAUACCCAAACAAGAAAAGUUUUGGGCACUCUAUCUAGGAGCAUUGGUCGUUUUAAAUUAGUUUCAUAGCCCAUGAACAUUUCAACGAAUUGCAGUAACAUUCAUACAUACGUAACAAAUAAUCAAUUAAUAACAAACAAUACCACAGAAGCACGAGGGCAGAGACGCUUCCCAAACAAUUAUAAACAAAGAUGAAAUUGAUGAUGCAAC